GGAGAGAUGGUCGAGUUGGUUUAAGGCACCGGUCUUGAAAACCGGCGUAGUCGUGAGGCUACCGUGAGUUCGAAUCUCACUCUCUCCG
RNAcentral lists this transfer RNA (88 nucleotides) under Pseudobacteroides cellulosolvens ATCC 35603 = DSM 2933. RNAcentral describes it as "Bacteroides cellulosolvens ATCC 35603 tRNA". It matches the Rfam family "tRNA". Rfam says of the family: Transfer RNA (tRNA) molecules are approximately 80 nucleotides in length. Their secondary structure includes four short double-helical elements and three loops (D, anti-codon, and T loops). Lineage: Bacteria; Bacillati; Bacillota; Clostridia; Eubacteriales; Oscillospiraceae. The record is from Rfam by way of RNAcentral.